AGUGAGAAUGAUCCUGUAUAUGUCUGAGUACAGAAUUCAACAGAUCAAUAUAGAAGUCAUUUCCUCUUCCAAUACAUUAUAAUCAGAUGAAGUUUGAAAUGAGGCAUUGGUAAACAAGCUUGAGAAAGUAUUUCAAUGUUAGCCAAUAUCAUCAUAAAGUUAACAACAAAAGUGCAAGAAAACAAACACCAGGUGGUGCUAUUCUGACAGAAAAAUGAAAAAGACUUGCCAGAAAACGCUACAUAAUCAUGCAGUAGUUUUUUUCUGCCAGUUCUAAUCCAUAGUCGAAGAUAUAUAACCGAACAUUUCACCAUAAAGAUUCAUUUAGUUCUAUAAGAAGAACACAACAGGAUACACUAAAAGCUUACAAUCUAAGGUUUCAACACUGGAUUUAGCAGGCAGACCAGGGAUUAAUAGAUUGUAGUUCAAAGUGUAAAACAAAGGACAUUCUUCCAUAUGUGCUGCUUUUCCUUUGUAAAUAUAUCAAGAAAUAGACAACUGAGUUCAAAGUUAAUCUAGCAUUACCAGUAC
RNAcentral lists this unclassified non-coding RNA (531 nucleotides) under Hevea brasiliensis (rubber tree). The record is from RNAcentral. Lineage: Eukaryota; Viridiplantae; Streptophyta; Magnoliopsida; Malpighiales; Euphorbiaceae.